AGAGUUUGAUCCUGGCUCAGGAUGAACGCUGGCGGCGCGCCUAACACAUGCAAGUCGAACGAGCGAGAGAGAGCUUGCUUUCUCGAGCGAGUGGCGAACGGGUGAGUAACGCGUGAGGAACCUGCCUCAAAGAGGGGGACAACAGUUGGAAACGACUGCUAAUACCGCAUAAGCCCACGGGUCGGCAUCGACCAGAGGGAAAAGGAGCAAUCCGCUUUGAGAUGGCCUCGCGUCCGAUUAGCUGGUUGGUGAGGUAAUGGCCCACCAAGGCAACGAUCGGUAGCCGGACUGAGAGGUUGAACGGCCACAUUGGGACUGAGACACGGCCCAGACUCCUACGGGAGGCAGCAGUGGGGAAUAUUGCACAAUGGGGGAAACCCUGAUGCAGCGACGCCGCGUGGAGGAAGAAGGUCUUCGGAUUGUAAACUCCUGUUGUUGAGGAAGAUAAUGACGGUACUCAACAAGGAAGUGACGGCUAACUACGUGCCAGCAGCCGCGGUAAAACGUAGGUCACAAGCGUUGUCCGGAAUUACUGGGUGUAAAGGGAGCGCAGGCGGGAAGACAAGUUGGAAGUGAAAUCCAUGGGCUCAACCCAUGAACUGCUUUCAAAACUGUUUUUCUUGAGUAGUGCAGAGGUAGGCGGAAUUCCCGGUGUAGCGGUGGAAUGCGUAGAUAUCGGGAGGAACACCAGUGGCGAAGGCGGCCUACUGGGCACCAACUGACGCUGAGGCUCGAAAGUGUGGGUAGCAAACAGGAUUAGAUACCCUGGUAGUCCACACCGUAAACGAUGAUUACUAGGUGUUGGAGGAUUGACCCCUUCAGUGCCGCAGUUAACACAAUAAGUAAUCCACCUGGGGAGUACGACCGCAAGGUUGAAACUCAAAGGAAUUGACGGGGGCCCGCACAAGCAGUGGAGUAUGUGGUUUAAUUCGACGCAACGCGAAGAACCUUACCAAGUCUUGACAUCCCUUGACGAUGCUGGAAACAGUAUUUCUCUUCGGAGCAAGGAGACAGGUGGUGCAUGGUUGUCGUCAGCUCGUGUCGUGAGAUGUUGGGUUAAGUCCCGCAACGAGCGCAACCCUUAUGGUCAGUUACUACGCAAGAGGACUCUGGCCAGACUGCCGUUGACAAAACGGAGGAAGGUGGGGAUGACGUCAAAUCAUCAUGCCCUUUAUGACUUGGGCUACACACGUACUACAAUGGCGUUAAACAAAGAGAAGCAAGACCGCGAGGUGGAGCAAAACUCAGAAACAACGUCCCAGUUCGGACUGCAGGCUGCAACUCGCCUGCACGAAGUCGGAAUUGCUAGUAAUCGUGGAUCAGCAUGCCACGGUGAAUACGUUCCCGGGCCUUGUACUCACCGCCCGUCA
Molecule: ribosomal RNA, 1370 nt
Filed under: uncultured bacterium
Lineage: Bacteria
Description: bacterial SSU rRNA
Rfam family: Bacterial small subunit ribosomal RNA
Source: RNAcentral